Non-coding RNA from Paramuricea clavata, 244 nucleotides. NCBI's taxonomy places the organism in Eukaryota, Metazoa, Cnidaria, Anthozoa, Malacalcyonacea, Plexauridae. The record is from the annotation of a GenBank genome assembly.
CAAGAGCUCUCUAUCUUCAGAGUCAGGCAUAUUUGUGCCAAUUUUGGACGGAGGUGUGUUCCGUAAAGAAGACAUGUUGAAACUGAGUAAAGUAAUGUGUUAAAUCAAACACCGAUACUUUUUUCUGAGACACCCGUUAGUUACUCAAAAAUAAAAAAUGGGCAAUUUUGCAAAUUCUGCAAAUUAAAGUACCGUAUUCAGGCAAUUGCAUGGAUAACAAAGCUGAAUGCUGCAAACUUGGAAC